AACCAACGCUGGCGGCGUGCCUCAGACAUGCAAGUCGAACGAUUAAAGCUCUCUUCGGAGAGUGUAUAGAGUGGCGCACGGGUGAGUAACACGUAAGUAAUCUACCCUCGAGUGGGGAAUAACGUCCGGAAACGGACGCUAAUACCGCAUAAUGCAGCGGCACCGCAAGGUGACAGUUGUUAAAGGAGAAAUUCGCUUGAGGAGGAGCUUGCGGCAGAUUAGCUGUUGGUAAGGUAACGGCUUACCAAGGCUACGAUCUGUAACCGGUCUUAGAGGACGGUCGGUCACACUGACACUGAAUAACGGGUCAGACUCCUACGGGAGGCAGCAGUCGGGAAUUUUGGGCAAUGGGCGAAAGCCUGACCCAGCAACGCCGCGUGAAGGAUGAAGUAUUUCGGUAUGUAAACUUCGAAAGAAUAGGAAGAAUAAAUGACGGUACUAUUUAUAAGGUCCGGCUAACUACGUGCCAGCCGCCGCGGUAAC
This 483-nucleotide ribosomal RNA is filed under the name uncultured bacterium. Its description in RNAcentral is "bacterial SSU rRNA". It matches the Rfam family "Bacterial small subunit ribosomal RNA", at positions 32 to 524 of the family's 1533-position model. The record is from RNAcentral.